GCAAACUGAAAUCACUAAUUAAAGGGAUAAAUCAGUGUUUUCAAGUUGAGGUUCGAGUAAAAACUGGCAGCACAGUCACCUUACUGCAGAAAGGUAGACUUCAUAGUGGAUGCUGUGAUGGUGAGCUGGUCAGGUCCUGGUGAAGCAAAGUAUCCCCAAACCAUAACACUUCCUGCACUAUUCUCCCAGUUGGUAUGCUGGAGCUCCUCCCUGCUGGCCUGCUGCAGCCUCCCACAGCUUGAAGCCAGCCAGCAGCCACAGCUGCCUCCAAUCUGGAGAGACGGAAAAAUUCAGAUGCCCAAGAUGAGAGGAGGGCUGAGUCUGAAGAUAGUUUUAAGGAUUGGAGUGUGUUUCAAGGCAUGAGCAGUUGA
Long non-coding RNA from Xiphophorus maculatus (southern platyfish), 371 nucleotides. RefSeq lists it as uncharacterized. The record is from RefSeq and is a predicted model, not a curated record. Lineage: Eukaryota; Metazoa; Chordata; Actinopteri; Cyprinodontiformes; Poeciliidae. The transcript is spliced from 3 exons.